Long non-coding RNA from Panicum virgatum (switchgrass), 672 nucleotides. RefSeq lists it as uncharacterized. The transcript is spliced from 2 exons. NCBI's taxonomy places the organism in Eukaryota, Viridiplantae, Streptophyta, Magnoliopsida, Poales, Poaceae. The record is from RefSeq and is a predicted model, not a curated record.
GCGCGGCCCGGUCAGUUAUGUCGUUGCGCUAUGCAGCCGCCACCGCCGCCGCCGCCGCACGCCGGGCAGCAGCAGACGGCUCAGGGCAGAGACUACCGAAGAGACUACCGGCGACCUGCGCACUGCCGGAUAGCAGGGCGCUAGGGCGAAAUGCAGCCGCGAUCGGCGAGCAACCUGGCCCGGCUGGUAGCGUCAAAUUCAGUGGCGAUUCAGGAUUUGGGCCUUCGGGGCUCCACGUCUGGAUGCCAUGUGAGUUUACAAGUUACAACCAUAUGUCGCUCAAAUGGCAAUCCUGAAAUCUUCAGACUAUAGAAUGCAGGCUGUCAACAUACUGCUACGCAUCAACCAAGACAAAUUAAAACAUGUCCAUCAGCCAUUCGGCCAAUUAGAGUAUGUAUUCGUUUCAAAAAAAGAGGAGUUGGUGCUGUGCAAGUACAGCUUGAUUUUUUUUUGGUUGCAUGUUCCUCAGUUCAUCAUCUUACUCACCCUUGUAUUAUCAACAUGAAAGCUAUUAUAUAUGGGAACAUAUCUAGUGCAAACCACAGCUUCGUGAAAACCCUUACACUACUUCUCUACUACAUGCCUACUGUUUGAAUUUGUGGCAAGCUCAUAGUUUUUCGAGCCUUCCAUACAACAUGAUCUUAUAGUUCAUUGUCAGUCAACCAAAAAAAA